RNAcentral lists this ribosomal RNA (253 nucleotides) under uncultured bacterium. RNAcentral's name for it is "partial 16S ribosomal RNA". It matches the Rfam family "Bacterial small subunit ribosomal RNA", at positions 524 to 776 of the family's 1533-position model. The record is from RNAcentral.
UACGGAGGGUGCAAGCAUUAAUCGGAUUUAUUGGGCGUAAAGGGCGCGUAGGCGGGGAUGUAAGUCAGAUGUGAAAUCCCGAGGCUCAACCUCGGAACAGCAUUUGAAACUGUAUCUCUAGAGGAUAGGAGGAGAAAACGGAAUUCCACAAGUAGCGGUGAAAUGCGUAGAUAUGUGGAAGAACACCGGUGGCGAAGGCGGUUUUCUAUCUUAUUCCUGACGCUGAUGCGCGAAAGCAAGGGGAUCAAACAGG